Molecule: long non-coding RNA, 170 nt
Organism: Ostrea edulis (European flat oyster)
Lineage: Eukaryota; Metazoa; Mollusca; Bivalvia; Ostreida; Ostreidae
Exons: 2
Source: RefSeq, a predicted model, not a curated record
AUCUUUUCUUUUCCGCCGUUGUGGAGUGCAGUCACGUUUUUCUCGAGGAGGAAAAGAAUUUUUUCUACUUGCUAUUUUGGCUAAGUAUUGCAUGAUGAUACCGGAUGUUGGUUUCUGAGCAUGUCAGAGGUGGCGGGUCACAAAGGGUGCUUUUUUAUUACAUGGUUUUU